This 29-nucleotide non-coding RNA is filed under the name Rattus norvegicus (Norway rat). The record is from RNAcentral. Lineage: Eukaryota; Metazoa; Chordata; Mammalia; Rodentia; Muridae.
UCCACAGACAAAUGGAUGGACGACAACAG